RNAcentral lists this ribosomal RNA (271 nucleotides) under uncultured bacterium. RNAcentral's name for it is "partial 16S ribosomal RNA". It matches the Rfam family "Bacterial small subunit ribosomal RNA", at positions 28 to 297 of the family's 1533-position model. The record is from RNAcentral.
GACGAACGCUGGCGGCGUGCUUAACACAUGCAAGUCGAGCGGUAAGGCCCUUUCGGGGGUACGACGAGCGGCGAACGGGUGGAGUAACACGUGGGUGACCUGCCCUCAGCUCUGGGAUAAGCCUGGGAAACCGGGUCUAAUACUGGAUAUGACUCCAUGACGCAUGUUGUGGGGUGGAAAGCCUUGUGCGGCUGAGGAUGGGCCCGCGGCCUAUCAGCUUGUUGGUGGGGGGAUGGCCUACCAAGGCGACGACGGGUAGGCCGGCCUGGGA